CUAUCAGUUCUGCCCUUAAUAGAUGUGAAUUUAACUUUGACGAGCAAGUGACGUCACUCCAUCUCACAGAACUUCCUUUCCCCUAAUGGGAUCACCAAGAGUCCCUACAGAAAAGGACAUCAUUCCUUUCUGGUUCCUCCUCCUCUGCCCUUCAGUCUCCUUCUAUGGCAUUUUUUUUUACUUUAUUCUUUUUUCUUGCAGGCUUCUGGGUGUCCAGCAGCACAAAAGCUUUCAGAGACACUUGUGUCAAAUGCAACAUGGAGAGGAGUGAGGAUGUUCACAGCAAAUUUGGUUCAAGAUUUCUUUUCCACAAAAGGCUUCUGGGUGUCCAGCAGCACAAAAGCUUUCAGACACAUUUGUGUCAUAUGCAACAUGGAGAGGAGUGAGGAUGUUCACAGCAAAUUUGGUUCAAGAUUUCUUUUCCACAAAAGGCUUCUGGGUGUCCAGCAGCACAAAAGCUUUCAGAGACACUUGUGUCAAAUGCAACAUGGAGAGGAGUGAGGAUGUUCACAGCAAAUUUGGUUCAAGAUUUCUUUUCCACAAAAGGCUUCUGGGUGUCCAGCAGCACAAAAGCUUUCAGACACAUUUGUGUCAAAUGCAACAUGGAGAGGAGUGAGGAUGUUCACAGCAAAUUUGGUUCAAGAUUUCUUUUCCACAAAAGGCUUCUGGGUGUCCAGCAGCACAAAAGCUUUCAGAGACACUUGUGUCAAAUGCAACAUGGAGAGGAGUGAGGAUGUUCACAGCAAAUUUGGUUCAAGAUUUCUUUUCCACAAAAGGCUUCUGGGUGUCCAGCAGCACAAAAGCUUUCAGAGACACUUGUGUCAAAUGCAACAUGGAGAGGAGUGAGGAUGUUCACAGCAAAUUUGGUUCAAGAUUUCUUUUCCACAAAAGGUGUGGGUAGUGCACAUACUUUCACCCAUAGGAUUGUAUGUCAUCAUGUUCAUAAAUCUUAUGGCUUGACAACAUUAUGGUGACCUUUGUGUGCAUCAAGUCAUUUGAUUUCAUGUAUAUGUUUAUUUAGAAUGCAUAAGUUUAUGAAAUGUUUAAUUGAUAAAUGUUACUUAUAAAGAGAUCUUGCAUUUUGAAAAUUUGUUAAACUCAGAGAUCUGCAUUAUGAGGAUCAAAAGGGUCUCAGUAGUGUCUCUAUUUAUAAUGCUAGUCUUUGAAGACAAACUUCAAGUAAUGUUUUAUUAUUAACGAUUUUGGAGCAAAGGGGAACUGAUGUACGGAUCAUGUCUAGCAGCUGUCCCUUGCCCUGCUCCUCAGAUUCUGCCUUGUUAAGGUAACACUCAAUUUCGUUUGUUGCUUCUUGAGACCUGUCCUACGUCAUGGAUGUGAACGUGAUAGAGAUGGGUAGGAAGGACCUUGACUUAGCUCUAAGGGCCUUUAAA
Molecule: RNA transcript, 1391 nt
Organism: Portunus trituberculatus (swimming crab)
Lineage: Eukaryota; Metazoa; Arthropoda; Malacostraca; Decapoda; Portunidae
Exons: 6
Source: RefSeq, a predicted model, not a curated record